GCUUUUGCAUUUUUAUCUCAGCAAGGAACCUGUCCAACUUUACUUUCUCCACCCUUCUUAUGUCCGAGGACUUGGUUUCCUCAGCCAGUUUCCUGUCUGCUCAGGGGGAGAUUUUCCUGAGAAGAGCCCACUGCCUUUCUACUGCUCGGCCAUGUUCCUGCUGCUUAUCUCAACACUGGGGAUAUUUGCCCCGCGCGACACCGGAGCCCAGUCAGUGACGCAGCCUGAUGUCCAUGUCACUGUCUCUGAAGGAGCCCCUCUGGAGCUGAGGUGCAACUAUUCCUAUAGUGGAACUCCUUAUCUCUUCUGGUACAUGCAGCACCCCAACCAAGGACUCCAGGUUCUACUGAAGUACUUUUCAGGGGACACCCUGGUUAAAGGCAUCAAAGGUUUUGAGGCUGAAUUUAAGAACCAUGAAACCACCUUCCACCUGAGGAAAUCCCGAGCCCUUGGCAGCGAUGAGGCCAAGUACUUCUGUGCUGUGCGUGACACAGUGUCUGGGACUGCAGGGGGAGCUGAACACAAACCACCAUGGUAGGGGAGUUUUUGGAGACUGACGGUCUCUUCCUGUGGUAUUAUCAGAGAUCUCUUGCUGUAUGAUGCCAAAUGAGGCAAAUAGAACUGAGCAGACUCAGAUAUUUCUAUAUAAUUCUACAACUCCAUGUCUGAUAAACUUAAUUUAGCAGGUUUUUGGUCUUUGUAGAAACUACAUGAUAAUAAAUAGUAUUACAGAAUGAUGGAGAAGAUAGUGUUCUGAUCAUAUAAUACCAGGAUGCUUAAAGACUGGCCUUGAGGUUGACUGCCUACGAGGUUAACUAUAUGAGUUUUCAUUUAUCAUUUCUUCUGUCAGCCAACCCAGAAAACAAAACAUGAACUCCUCAUGUUCUUUCCCUGAAAAGUUUGCCUGCUUGUUUCUUUCAUCAUUCACAGAUCAUCUUCUUGGAAUUUUUUUUCCCCCUAGAUCUUACUGUGUUGGUCAGAAUGUGUCAGAAUAUUAUCUUUGAGUGUCAAUUCCUUUAUUUAAGAGGGACUCUGAAAAAUUUUAAUGUAUUUAUUUACUUACUUACUUACUUAAUUUUAGGGGGUGGGGCAUGAACAGGAGAGGGGCAGAGAGAUGGAGAGACAGAAUGCUAAGCAGGCUCCAUAUUAUCAGUGCAGAGCACAUUGCGGGGCUGGAACUCACAAAUGUGAGAUCAUGACCUGAGUUGAAAUCAAGAGUUGGACAUUCAACCAACUGAGCCACCCAGGUACCCCUUCUUUUAGUAAUUUAAAUUCUACAAAUCUUCACCAGAAAUUUGUGGAUAUAAUCUCUUUUGCUGCUUCCAGCUAUGGACAUUUUUUUUUCUUCUUGCUUUUUCUCCUGUUCUUGUUUGAUUUCAUAGUUGGAAUAUUAGAGUUUGAAUCUUAUAUGUUAACAACAUUAUAAUUAAUGAUGUAGUAAUUUUAACAAUGCCAAACUCUGCUAGAAAUAUUGAUAAGAAUUGCAGUGAAUACUCGGUGUCACUGGACCCAGUAUAAACUUAUAACCCAGUAUAAAAUUGUUUUGUGUUAGGAUGGAAAGAACUGUGUAAGAAGUUUUAUGGCCCUUGUGUUCUUGAAGUCUUAGAGAUAACAAAUACUCUGCAGAAAGGGGAGAAAGAUAAAGAGGAAGCUUUCUAGCUGCUUCUUGGUUUAUUCUAUAAUGUGUGAAAAGUGCCCAGCAGCACUAUAGAGAGACUAAAUAGAUCAUCACUAACGAUACAUCAGAAGAUCAACGGUAAUUUUUAGGAUGUGGUGAUAUGGUUAUGUGUAAUAAAUGUGUUUGAGUGAUUGCUGGAAGGGUACAAGGAAAGUAAACGCUGGUGUUGGAGACAUAAAAUUUGGAAUAAGGAAUUUGUAUUCCUUUAAUGUCCUUCUCCUUCCUUCCUUCCCUUUUUAUUUUUGGACCAUAAUCUCUCUACCUCUAUUUUCAGGUGACACUAUCGUCAGCUCAAGUACAUUGCCCAAAGGGACUGUGGUGGGAGCUUUAUUCAGAUUAGUAGGAGAAGGAGAUUACUAAUGUUUUUUAUUCCGAACUCAAAGUGAGUUUGAAGAAAAAUAGGAUUUAUAUCAAGGACCCUGAGCAGUUGGGAGAUCAUACCCCCACCUUCCCAACCCUAACUCUACCUAAAAAUCAAAGUACCCUGUCCU
Panthera uncia (snow leopard) is the source of this 2169-nucleotide non-coding RNA. The record is from the annotation of a RefSeq genome assembly. NCBI's taxonomy places the organism in Eukaryota, Metazoa, Chordata, Mammalia, Carnivora, Felidae.